UCGAUAAAAAUCAAAGUAUUUAUACUUUGUUACUUCCCAACACUCGCGUUUCGUAACGUCUUACAUUUUCUAAUUGAGAAACUCGAAAUGUCAUCUAAUUUUAAACACAGUACAAGUUUCAGAUAAUACUUGUUUGGCUCCAAUCCGUGGCGCACUGCAGCUCAAACGUCAGACUGUCUACCUCCAUUUGUACACGAAGAAGGAUGCGGAAAUGACGUCACUCGCCACUUUUAGCCACAAGCUAGCAGUCGAGUACUAACACUAAAACAAUUGUUUACGUUCACUUUUGACCGCGUUUUCUUCACAUUCUUGUCAACGCAUUAUAGUUGACGCGAACAAGAGUAGCAUUUAGAGGAGAAGCUAACAAGUCGAACUCCACUUGAACGUCUAUCAAGUCAUGGCGCCAAACGUCAGAUUUUAAUCUCAGAUUGUGGGGGCGGAAUCCUUUUAGUUUGGUGAGACGUGGUCAACGUCAGGCAGCAGCGACGGUCCGUGGGUCUCUGAGGAUUUAACGCCAGUAGCGGACCGGACCGAGGCUACUUCCCUUCCUCGCUCCGAGCGGUGGUGAUGCUCGUCGUGGGUGCUUAAUGGGGCUCUUCAGAGUCAUGACGCCGCCCAAAUUGCAGCUUUUGGCCGUGCUGACAUUCACUGUCACCAUGCUCUUCAUCGAGAACCAGAUCCAAAGACUGGAAGAGUCCAGAGCCAAACUAGAGCGCGCCAUGGCCAGACACGAAUUUUCCGAGGUGGAGCCGCAGCACCACGGCGAAGACGGCCGUCGCGGGCUCUCGGAAGAUGACGACGAUGUUGACGACGACACGGUGAUCAUCUACAACCGGGUGCCCAAAACGGCCAGCACGUCCUUCACCAACAUCGCGUACGACCUGUGCGCCAAGAACCGCUUCCACGUGCUGCACAUCAACACCACCAAGAACAACCCCGUCAUGUCCCUCCAGGACCAGAUGCGUUUUGUUCACAACGUCACGUCCUGGCGAGGGAUGAAGCCCGGCUUCUAUCACGGCCACGUGGCCUACCUGGACUUCUCCAAGUACGCCGUCAAGGGGAAGCCGCUGUACAUCAAUGUGGUGCGAGAUCCCAUCGAGCGCCUGGUGUCCUACUACUACUUCCUACGCUUCGGUGACGACUACCGGCCCGGCCUGCGGCGAAGGAAGCAAGGCGACAAGAAGACCUUCGACGAGUGCGUGGCUUCCGGCGGCUCUGACUGCGCCCCCGAGAAACUCUGGCUGCAGAUUCCCUUCUUCUGCGGACACCAGUCAGAGUGCUGGAACGUUGGCAGUCGCUGGGCGCUGGAGCAGGCCAAAUACAACCUGGUCAACGAGUAUCUCCUGGUGGGCGUGACCGAGGAGCUGGAGGACUUCAUCAUGAUCCUGGAGGCCGCGCUGCCGCGCUUCUUCAAGGGUGCCAUCGACCUCUACAAAAUGGGCAAGAAGUCGCACCUGCGCAAGACCACCGAGAAGAAGCUCCCCACCCGGGAGACCAUCGGUAAACUCCAGCAGUCCAAGAUCUGGAAGAUCGAGAACGAGUUCUACGAGUUUGCACUGGAGCAGUUCCAGUUCGUGCGGGCGCACGCCGUCCGAGAGAAGGACGGCGAGCUCCUCGUGCUGCCGCAGAGCUUCUUCUACGAGAAGAUCUACCCCAAAGCCGCCUGAGGAGCAGCGGAGGGGAGGACCAAGACACACACAUGCUGGAUUCCAGGACUGUUUACAGGCCUGACCUCGUGACUUGCCGACUUCUGCCUGUACUGUAAGUGCGCCUGUUUGUGUUUCCCCCUCUGGUGGGGACCACCACGCCCCCACCCUCCUGACAACGGGCAACAAAGGGUCCAUUGAGUGGUCGUGGCAAAGUCGGCAGCGAGGGUCUUUGAUGGCUAAUCUGCAUGCAUUUGUGCAGGGAAACUGGAGCCAGCUUCAAGGAAACAGGUGGAACUCAUUACGAUAUCCCCACUCUAGAUUUCCUCUUAUGUUCUUUUUUGGGUUUUUUUUUAUCACGAUUUUGUUUUCCCUUCCUACCAGAAAUUCCCUGGCGGGUGCUCCAUGUGAACACACAAAAACAUGGCAAGUUUUACUUUGUGCUCAAAGUUUUUAAUACAGGUUUUGGUUUUGAUUUUACAAAGUGAAAAGUCAGCUUUGGAACCCAUGUUGCAUUCGAGAAAUUUCAAAAACAUCCCCCUCGCCUCAACAUCAUCAAAAUAUUUCUACCUCCUCCCGCAUUGCUUCUCUCGCGUUAUGUGCUGUCAAAAUGAGUCCCAACAUGCUGGACCAUAUUUACUUCCGUAAUCGCUGUGCCAAGUGACUUUUGGAGGUGCGGGGGGGUGUACAUUAUAAAUCGCAUUUGUUUUUGUAAUGUGAACGAGUACAUAAGAAGACCGUGUUUAAGAAAAAAAAUCUAAUUGGGCGUCAGCCCUGCAGCGUGAAUAUAGCCUAAAUUUGUCUCCUAACAUUAUGAUUUUUUAAAAAAAAAAAUUUUCGACUCAAAGAAAUCCGC
RNA transcript from Hippocampus zosterae (dwarf seahorse), 2502 nucleotides. It is a transcript of the gene named heparan sulfate 2-O-sulfotransferase 1-like, with no coding region annotated. NCBI's taxonomy places the organism in Eukaryota, Metazoa, Chordata, Actinopteri, Syngnathiformes, Syngnathidae. The transcript has 8 exons. The record is from RefSeq and is a predicted model, not a curated record.